Molecule: long non-coding RNA, 1967 nt
Organism: Lycium barbarum (goji berry)
Lineage: Eukaryota; Viridiplantae; Streptophyta; Magnoliopsida; Solanales; Solanaceae
Exons: 2
Source: RefSeq, a predicted model, not a curated record
CUCCUCACUCCCAUCUUAUAAUGAGUUACAAUUCCAUGAACAUCUUCAAAUGGAGAUCAGAGACAAAGUCUCAAGCAAUUUCAUAAAUAGUCACAUAAUUAUGGCUUUUAUCCACCAUCACAUAACUAUGUUUCUAACAGAAUUCACCAACACACACAAAAGUCACACUGCCAGAAUACCCAACACUCCGAUGAGUCAUAAUUUUUACUCUACAUAUUAGAGUUUUUUUUUUUUAAAUUCGUAAGACUAUAAAUACAGACCAAAUGUAAAAAGGACUAACCUUCCCAUGAGUGGUAAUACACCUAUUUUUUACCACCUUCAAAUGUAUCCAAAUGACAUAUCGUACAUAUCUUUUGGAAAUUACCAUCCAAAUUCUCCUCCACUUUCGCAUCCUAUUUCAAGAUUCUCAUCAAACAUUGAAAGACACCAAUUUUGACCAAGUGAUGCUCACAUGGGUGCAAGAACCUUGAAAUACUAUUUUUGCACAAGUUACAUAUAUUCAUGUACAUGAGGCCUUGGAAAGGGCUAGAUUCGAAAGUGCGGAAGGGUUCUAUGAAUGUAUUGCUAAGGUGGCUCCUGAUAUUAGUGAGAAACAUAUUACUCCCUCGCUCCCAAUUUAUGUGGAACUUUUCGAUUCUCGAGAGUCAACUUGACUAAUCUUUGAAGCUAAAUUGAAUUAGAUCAACUUAAUAUUUUAGAAUUAAAAUUCAGAUAUUCAAAAAAUAUAGAUCAAAGCUCACUUAAUUUGAAUCUAGAGAAGCGAAACAUGCCAUAUAAAUUGGGACAGAGGAAGUAUGACGGAGCAGCUUGGUACUUGCAGGAAUCCUGACAAACUUUUUGGAAUUCCAAUGGUUGUUAGACAAAGAAAGACGAGGUCACUAGUUGGAAGGAUGGAAGCCUCAUAAUUCUCCACUCCACCCUUCCCAAGGUUUGUCAUCAAAGUUACAAGUCUAACUUGUAGCUCAUUCGGAUGUGAGAGGAAUUGGAGAUUGUUUGAACAUGUCAGAAGAAAGAUUCAGUAUACUAGUCUCUCGGUACGCAAGUUGCACAUGUACACCAUAUCAGUAUAAUGCGUGAAAAAAAAUUUGAAAAUCACAUAAACAUUUUAUUAUAAAUAUGCUUGAGUUAAGGAAUUACUUAAAAGAAAAAUUAUAAGAUUUUGAAAAUAACGAAUGUAAUCAUAUGUAGCUAACUUAAUGUUGAAAAUGACAAAUACUUUUUAGCUUUUUCUUUUAUUACUACUAUUAUUAUUAAUAAAUAUAAAAACAUACUAUUAAAAGAGUGUUCUAGUCUUUCAAAUUUCUAUAAUAGUAUAGAUUAGUAAAGUAAAUUAUAUCUCAAUUGUCCUAACUCCUAUUAAUUAUUUGCCACAACUUAUUUGCAAAUUCAUACCAAGAUGAUGAAUAGACUGGACCUAAAGCGUCUCAAUGAUCCAGUGUCCAUAAACGGAAAAGGAAAAUACAACUUCUAAGUAGAUGCUAUAUAUGCAAAAAGGAGGUUGAAACUAACAGGCAUCUAUUCAUUCACUGUGGGAUGGCCUCAGAUUUCUGGAACAUGUUUUUUUGCCUAUUUGGUCUCAAUUGGACCACACCUCUGUCAGUUAAGGAAGCCUAUGAGAGCUGGAGCCGAUGGAGAGUUGACAAAGCCAUCAAGAAGAUCUGGAACAUGGUACCUGCUUGUAUAUUUUGGUGUAUCUGGUUAGAAAGAAUAGGAGAUGUUUUGAUGGGGAGUCAACUCCUUUAGGUCUUUUGAACGCAAGGUGUAUUGCCAAUUUGUUUAGUUGGUCCAACUUGGCUCCUGUUGAUAAUGCAGAACAUCUUUUGGUUUUAUAGCUCACUUAACUCUGGUUUAGAUAGUUUUUGUACAGCCAGCCAGUCAUUUUUUGUAAGCUCAAAUGCCAUAUCUUGUAAAUCUUGCAUCUUCUUGAUGCCUUAUAUUAAUAUUACUUGCUUUAUCAAAAAAGAAAA